This 2016-nucleotide long non-coding RNA is filed under the name Homo sapiens (human). Its description in RNAcentral is "HSALNT0223381". Lineage: Eukaryota; Metazoa; Chordata; Mammalia; Primates; Hominidae. The record is from RNAcentral.
AUUCAAGGUGGGGGAGACACCGCCACCAGCUCUGAAGUCGGGGCAAGAGGUAACAGUGGCCUGACGAGCGUGCAGUUCCUCCUGUGGCUCCCUUCACAACCUCGUGACUUCUUGAUGCUAGAGCAGUGAGGAGUGAAGGCCCACUUCUCUCCACAAAGGGUAGACUGAGGUUAUUCCAUGGCACAGUAUAAGGCCCUGAAUAUACAGAAAGGAAAGAUGGAGCCCAUCGAGAAGGGAGAAGAAGGACCAGCAAACAGCCAGGACAAGCUGUGUGAAAAGUGACACAGCAGGUAAAUCCAGAGAGCUCUGGGAACCAGAGGUGCCAAACAGCACAAACCAGGAGAGACCAUCAGUGGGACGGAUGCAGAAGGCUCUGGAGGAGGCAAUAAGUUCGUGGAUUCUAAACACUGUUUAACCAGGAAGUAACAGACAAGGUAGGAGGAACUCCCCGAGGUCAGGAAGCAGUGUCUAUUCAUUUGUCGUAUGGAAUCACCACACCCUUCAGUGAUGGCCAUGCUUUCCUUGUCGCCUUCUUUGAGAUUGAGUGGGCCCCACAGAACGGCGUUCCCAGAAGCCUUGGUGACUGCUCAGAUCCCAGCUGCUUUACCUGCCAGCAUCCUGAAACUCAGUAAGAUCAGAGUCCAGACCUCGUAAGAUGUUGAGACUUCACCUACCGCUGCCCCACCCAGGCUGAUGAAGCAUCAAUCCAAGAUGAAGGGGCCCAUCCCUGAGUCUGUCUCUCUUCUCUGGCUUUGUCACUCUGGACUUUGCUUCCGGCUUCAAGUUUCUAGGUGUAAUAUGUGAAGAUUAAUGGCAAUGAAGCAAACGUGCAUAAGAAAAUCCACGCAGCAAAGGCAAUUCCGUUAUUCUCAAGUCCAUAGAUGCCCAGUGUGACAUUGUGAACUGGAGAAAAAGGAGCACUUCCUGUUCAGGAAAUCUUGUAAAAUCAUAAAUGUCAGGACUCAGUCAACAAUACCCCAAAAUGAAGGCCUCAGAAGCAUCCUCAGAGGAAAAAUUUAUUUCUCUGAUCUUCUCUUGCCCUCCUGUCUCUUAGCGCCAUUCUCCCCUGAGGCUAGACACAGACACUAGAAUCCCUCUGCCCCAGGGCAGGGCAUGGAAGCCAGAAGCCUUUUUCCCCAAAGCCAGCCAUAAAACUUAAAGAUGUCACUCUAACUUUCCCUCUGCCUUUCUGUGUGAAAACUGGCCAUAAAGAAACUAUCUGCCCUACCUUGUUUGACUGAAGGUCAUAAGACCCUCAUUCCAGAGAGGGUCCUGCCUCAUACUCAGAAGGAAGGAAUGCACGUUCAGCAAGGCCAAGAAGAAUCUAAACAGACAGGCCUUGCUGAGUUUCCCCACUCAGCCGAUUGACAUUGGAUCAUGCCCUUUUCGUCUAAUCCUAUAUCUACACGGCUGUCCAUACUUUGUUGAACAUAAGCAUAAAAAUGGUCAGUUUCCUCUGUAUCUUUGGGUCAUUCUGAAGGUUCUCAUGUACACAUUAAUAAAAUUUAUACCCAUUUUCUCCAAUUAACCUGCCUUUUGUGAGUUGAUUUUUCAGCAAACCUUCAGAAAAUGAAGAGGCUUUCCCUUUGCCCCUCCAGUAACAAAAUGGUAUCUCAUUCUCUAAAUACAAUUAUUUCUAUAAAAUGCCUUUUCUAGGCUGGGUGUGGUGGCUCACGCCUGUAAUUCCAGCACUUUGGGAGGCCGAGGCGGGGGGAGGUGGUGGGUGGAUCACUUGAGGCCAGCAGUUCAAGUCCAGUCUGGACAACAUGGUGAAACCUCGUCUCUACUAAAAAUACAAAAAUUAGCCGGGCGUGGUGGUGUGCACCUGUAGACCCAGCUACUCGAGAGGCUGAGGCAGGAGAAUCACUUGAACCUGGGAGGCAGAGGUUGCAGUGAGCCGAGAUCGCACCACUGCACUCCAGCCUGGGCAACAGAGCAAGACUCGGUCUCAAAAAAUAAAAUAAAAUAAAAUAAAAUAAAAUAAAAUAAAAUAAAAUAAAAUAAAAUAAAAUAAAA